UCGGGUUACAGCCGCCGCCGCCGCCGCCGGCCCCCAGCCCGCCCGCUCCCCGCCGCUUCGCCGGCGCCCGCAGAGACGGGGUAACGGAACUGGGACGCCAGCGCUGCAUUGUGGGAGCUUUUAAAGCGGCGGGGAGCGCGGCGCGACCGCUGGGGCCCACCGGGCCGAGCUCGGCCCGCCACCCCCGCCCCGGCCACCCGGGCCUGCCGACCGGAAAGCCAGAACUGGUGAGCCGACUGCGGCCUCGCUGACUCUCCCGGGAGCCAAAUCUUCCACAGCCCGGGGCUGAAACUUGUAAAACUGCCCUCUCCGGUCACCCCGGAAAGUAGGAGGCUUUUUUCGCAGACGCGUUAAAAAAAAAAAAAAAAAAGCCUUUCCGUCCCCUCAGGACUGGGUCUGAACUGCUUUGCAGCUGGAGUGGCAGUGAUUCAGCGACCCCCUUCUCAGCAGCAGGCAAUGACAGAGGCAGGAGACGAAAAACAGCGAAUGAAUCAGCCGUCAGAGCUUCAUGGUGGACCAAGUUUGGUCUUCUCUGUGUUUUUGGACCAUUGUCAUGCACAGCUUCCUGGGUGAGAGGGUCUAAAAUUAAAUCUCAGGCAUUCUGAGAGAUGAGAGGCAGGCUGCCCACUUAGAGGCACCAUCUCACACAUCAGGAAGAGCUCCCAAAUUAAGGAUCCCAGGGAUUCCGUUCAAGCGAUAACAUGGAAAACAAGCCUGUGCUGCAGAGGUGAUCUGGACGCAGGAAGAAAUGAAAGACGCCUACAAUCAAAAAGUACUAUUCUGGAACUGCAGAGGACCAGUAAGCUGCCUGACCAGUGCCAAAGAUCAAUCAGGAGGACUGAGCAUCCAACAAGGUAGAAGCAGGAGCCAGGACUCUCUCUCAAGUGGACCAAAGUUUCUGGAGUUACAAAUGCCUUUAAACAAUGAUCAAGUCAUGCUGCAACAGGCACAGGAAACAAACGAACAGUGCCACAAGAAUUACUAAGCUUGGGUCUGAAAUCCCAGCAUUGAAGAAGAAGCUCCUCUCUGAAGAGACCAACAAUAGCACAUUCAUCACAAGAGCUGAGGUGAAGCCGCAGAGGAGACAACGGAAGGCUGGGCCCCGGGGGGCCAGGCUAGAGGAAAGAAAAGAGACUCCUCUUCCAGCCAAGAUGAAAGACCUGAACACCAUUCAGGAAACUUCAGCGGCCCUGCAGAGUGAAGGCCAUGAGCAGGAAAACAAAACGGACAAUCAAGCACAAAGAGAAGAUACACAUGACAAUCUCCCAAAGACACAGCGCUCUUCAGUACACUUUUUUCCAAAGAUGAUGGAUUCAGAUACUACAACACUGUCAUGGUCAUGGUCAUUAUCUAAUGAAACACCUCUCAGUUGCUUUCUGUCUACGCCUCAGAUUAGUGGAGCAACUGUAUCAACAAUUGGAAGAAAGUCUAAAUCUAUUAUAGUGAGCCAUUCCCGAUCAGAAAACAGCUUGGGAAUCAACAGCUUCAUAAUUCCAAAGAAACAUACUCCGCCAGUCACUGCUCCCGAGCCAGGUGUGACUGGAGAAGGAGAGGAUUACUUCCUAUCUUUGUUUGGUGAUUCAAAGAAACUUAACGCACACUCAUUCCAUGCUGAGAAAACUUGGAAGCAUUUUUCUAUGAUUCUUGAAGAAGUGGGCCAAUCUAGAUCCAGUGCUCUGGGAGACAUUAAAAUAGCUGAAGUGAAUGUCAAGGGUUUAUUCGUGAAGCUCAUUAACUCUUCCCUUGACAAAGAACUGGAGAUUGGAGAUCAUAUUCUCCAGCAAAAUGUGAAUGGACAAAUAAUCUGUUUGUACCGAUUCCUUCCAAAUAUCAUAAUGCAAGCCAACUCCACAGUAACGGUGUGGGCAGCAGCAUCUGAAGCAAAGCAUCAGCCACCAGCAGAUUUUCUUUGGAAGGAACAAAACAAGUUCAAAACAAGCCCGAACUGUACAACAAUCCUGUGCAAACCUAAUGGGGAAGCUGUUGCCUGGUACACUCCUAUUCACUGGAAGCAAGCGUGGGAGAAAUUAGAGACCGACAUUGAAUUUGACAGAUGCUCAAUAGUAAGUCCAGCAUCUCGAAGGCAUUUGUUCCACUGGCCAGAAGUUCCAACUACAACUGAAGAAAAACAAGAUCAAUCUAAGAAAGACAUCUCAAAAUGUCAUAUGGAACCAGUACAAGCUUUUCUUAAGAGAGAAAAGGAAAUCCCACCAACCCUUUUCCCCAAUCGCAGCCCUUGGUGCCACAGUCCCGAUGUCCCUGCACACCCCUACUGUUCUCUUAUUGAACCUCACAUUACCAGCAUGGCUGGAAGCAGCUUAGAUAGACAGCCCAGGCCUCAGUCAGCCAGGCCUAAUCCAGCACAGGGACCAAGAAAAACAAGACAUCUCGGUUACAAAAGCAAUAGGCAAUCAACUCAAUCUUUGAAGUAAUUGAGGAAGAUGUCGACGGUUUUCUGUUUUGCAAGUGGCCGUGUUUGAACUCUUCCCCAAAGACCUGAUGAUAAGAACAAUAAUAUCCAAGCCUAGAUAACACAAGAACACCUGACCUGUCCAGCCAGCCUUCAUUACACAGGAGAGGAAGCCGGCAGCAAGCAAGAAAAUGGAUUCUUUUAAAAAAGAUAAUUCCUCAGGACUUUACUGUAACGACUUCUUAAAGAAGGAGAUAGAGUUUGUGGACAAGUUCAAACAUUUGUUUUCUAGGCUGUAAAGAAGAAAAACAUUGGUCAAAAGCAAAACCAUCACAGUUUUCAUUUUAUGUACAUGGAGUUCCCCAAUCACUAACUUGAGUCUUUUGUACCCUGCCCCGGGGUUAGGUCAACAACUUCUGCCAUUCCUGCAGAUGCACUUGUUUCAGGAAUUCUCAAUCUUAUGGCCUGAUUCUCUACACUUGGAAUCUGUCUCCAUAUAGCAUGGAUUAAUUUAGCUUCCUAAUGACUGGAAGUAAUAAGUAAAGUUUGCAUGGAGUACCUAGUUGGGAGCUUUUAAACUUGACUACACUUAGCUCAAAUUCAGCCAAAAUAGUCUCACCUUCCAGCUUGUGAUACUAGGCACAAAAUCUCAUGGAUAGAGAGUGCCAAAGGCCCAAGAAUUUUUCAAUUAAAUAAUAUGAUAGAGCUACCUUUUUUUAACCAUUCUGACUUCUUAUUCAUUAGCUAUCUUAUUCUAUACCUAUCAAGAGUAUAGAAGUUGAAGAAAUAAUGAAAUAUGCUAUUUUUAAAUAUAUAUAAAAUAUAUUUUUAUAUAUAUAAAUAAAAUAUGUAAAAAUAUUUUUAAAAAUAAA
RNA transcript from Equus quagga, 3282 nucleotides. It is a transcript of the gene named lamin tail domain containing 1, with no coding region annotated. The record is from RefSeq and is a predicted model, not a curated record. Lineage: Eukaryota; Metazoa; Chordata; Mammalia; Perissodactyla; Equidae. The transcript has 16 exons.